AUUGAACGCUGGCGGCAUGCCUUACACAUGCAAGUCGAACGGCAGCACGGGUGCUUGCACCUGGUGGCGGGUGGCGAACGGGUGAGUAAUACAUCGGAACAUGUCCUGUAGUGGGGGAUAGCCCGGCGAAAGCCGGAUUAAUACCGCAUACGAUCUACGGAUGAAAGCGGGGGACCUUCGGGCCUCGCGCUAUAGGGUUGGCCGAUGGCUGAUUAGCUAGUUGGUGGGGUAAAGGCCUACCAAGGCGACGAUCAGUAGCUGGUCUGAGAGGACGACCAGCCACACUGGGACUGAGACACGGCCCAGACUCCUACGGGAGGCAGCAGUGGGGAAUUUUGGACAAUGGGCGAAAGCCUGAUCCAGCAAUGCCGCGUGUGUGAAGAAGGCCUUCGGGUUGUAAAGCACUUUUGUCCGGAAAGAAAUCCUUGGCUCUAAUACAGUCGGGGGAUGACGGUACCGGAAGAAUAAGCACCGGCUAACUACGUG
This 486-nucleotide ribosomal RNA is filed under the name uncultured bacterium. Its description in RNAcentral is "partial 16S ribosomal RNA". It matches the Rfam family "Bacterial small subunit ribosomal RNA", at positions 30 to 507 of the family's 1533-position model. The record is from RNAcentral.